AACGAACGCUGGCGGCAGGCCUAACACAUGCAAGUCGAGCGAGACCUUCGGGUCUAGCGGCGGACGGGUUAGUAACGCGUGGGAACGUGCCCUUCUCUGCGGAAUAGCCACUGGAAACGGUGAGUAAUACCGCAUACGCCCUUCGGGGAAAGAUUUAUCGGAGAAGGAUCGGCCCGCGUUAGAUUAGAUAGUUGGUGGGUAACGGCCUACCAAGUCUACGAUCUAUAGCUGGUUUUAGAGGAUAAUCAGCAACACUGGGACUGAGACACGGCCCAGACUCCUACGGGAGGCAGCAGUGGGGAAUCUUAGACAAUGGGCGCAAGCCUGAUCUAGCCAUGCCGCGUGUGUGAUGAAGGUCUUAGGAUCGUAAAGCACUUUCGCCAGGGAUGAUAAUGACAGUACCUGGUAAAGAAACCCCGGCUAACUCCGUG
This 431-nucleotide ribosomal RNA is filed under the name uncultured bacterium. RNAcentral's name for it is "bacterial SSU rRNA". It matches the Rfam family "Bacterial small subunit ribosomal RNA", at positions 29 to 507 of the family's 1533-position model. The record is from RNAcentral.